This 201-nucleotide long non-coding RNA is filed under the name Elaeis guineensis (African oil palm). RNAcentral's name for it is "long non-coding RNA (EGUI_LNC051169)". The record is from RNAcentral. Lineage: Eukaryota; Viridiplantae; Streptophyta; Magnoliopsida; Arecales; Arecaceae.
GGGGCGAGUUUGCAUUUUUCCAUCAUAGGAUGGGUGAGGGUAUAGCAUACGUACCCCUUACUUGUUCCAUUGCUAUCCCUAUAAGGUGCAGGUUUCGUUGGCUUGAAGAAAGUAUUUGAAGUUGUUUAAAUUUAAAAUUAGUGGAAGAAUAGUAAAAUUAGAGAGUAAUACUUAUAUUCUACCAAAAAAAAAUAGGGAGGG